GUCCACGCCGUAAACGGUGGGUACUAGGUGUGGGUUUCCUUCCUUGGGAUCCGUGCCGUAGCUAACGCAUUAAGUACCCCGCCUGGGGAGUACGGCCGCAAGGCUAAAACUCAAAGAAAUUGACGGGGGCCCGCACAAGCGGCGGAGCAUGUGGAUUAAUUCGAUGCAACGCGAAGAACCUUACCUGGGUUUGACAUGCACAGGACGCUGGUAGAGAUAUCAGUUCCCUUGUGGCCUGUGUGCAGGUGGUGCAUGGCUGUCGU
RNAcentral lists this ribosomal RNA (263 nucleotides) under uncultured bacterium. RNAcentral describes it as "partial 16S ribosomal RNA". It matches the Rfam family "Bacterial small subunit ribosomal RNA", at positions 793 to 1055 of the family's 1533-position model. The record is from RNAcentral.